This 2090-nucleotide long non-coding RNA is filed under the name Androctonus crassicauda. Lineage: Eukaryota; Metazoa; Arthropoda; Arachnida; Scorpiones; Buthidae. The record is from RNAcentral.
AUUAAAAAUAUAUAUAGUUCUCUACGAAUUAUUCCCGUGUAAUCUCUGGCAUGUCUUGCUCCAAUUUUCUAGUAAAUUUUGAAAAAUUUUCAGCAGUUUUAUAAAAUUUAUGAUCUUCGGUUUUCUGAUAAUGGGUUACGAACUGUUUUUGAAGUUUUCGAACAGGAAAGUUAGUAAACAAAUAUAUAUUUGGCCCAGAUGGUAGUGAAAACUAUCGAUCAUGCCAUAUUUUGCCAAUAAUAUCUAUUGCACUGUUGUGUUCUAGUGCUAAGCUCAAGUGAACUUAAUGGGACGAUCAAUGACCAAAUUUUAUUCUAUGGAGUCCAUAAUAAAAGAUUUAUAUCUCCAUAUUUUGAGAAUUUAUUCUGUCAAUGGCAAAAGUUGGAAUACCAUCAUCGAUGACCAUAUAAAGAAUAAUGCAAUGCAGUAUAUCUGUAUGAUAUUCUCUGACUUCCUACAUCGAUCCUAUUCAACAACAACUGCGAUAAUUAUCACUCCUCGUCUUUAUUAUUAUUUUAUCUCUUAAAUGAUAAUUUUAUCGCUCAAUUUAUGCCAGUAGUCCAUCGAAAAAUGUGUGGCUUUCACUCAAAUUUGGUUCGGUAUUUUUACACGAAUAUUUCGUGAAAGAAAACAAAAAUCAAUGCAACAUAUUCUGAACGUGUAAAAAAAUAAACACAAUAUUUAACUUAAUUUGACUUCAUAUUCUCUCUCGAAUAUAUAUUUUUUUUUAUAAGAAAUUUUAUUACAAAGUCUUCAAGUGCUCUGUGCUUCGAGAUUGUUUUCUCUUGGUUCCAUAAAAAAAAGUCUCGAUCUUUACUAUCAGUAAAAAAAUUCCCGAUUGCUCAGAGUUCAGACUUUAAAACAAAAAAAAAAAGAAAAAAGUUAUAACAGUUUUAUGUACUUGCAGCAAAGAGAAGUUAAAAUUCGUGGCACUGUAUCAUGUGGCAAACAGAAACUAGCUAGACUUUAUUGUCGUCUAAUGCAAAAGUAGGUCGAUAGAUUGAACGUGUUUAAAGUUAGCAUUUUCGCGAAAAUUUUCGUGAGAACUUGAAGAGAAUUAAAAGUUUUUUUUUUUAAUUAAUACAUUAAUUUUAUCGAAAAAGUUAUUAUUUUCUAAUCGAAUCGAAGAAUUUAGCGAAUUUAAAUAUAAAUUAACAGAUCAGAAAAUUAUAUUUUUGUCGAUUUUUCGAAGAUACUUAACGAGUUCCACGCCUAAUUAAAUUAUUUUCCAUAUUCAGACAUUAAAAGGAUAAUUCGAAAUUAAUUCAAUAAGGAAUAAAUAGAUUAAGAUCCUUUAUCAAAACUUAAUUAUCUUGAUUAAUUUUCGUCGAAAUUCUACCGAUGUGUUUGAUUAUUCAAAUUCUUAAAAAUUUGAAUAAUUCUCUCAAUUUCUCGGUCGAAAAAUUCCACGAAUUGUGCAACGAGAUCAGAUUUCUUAGAGAUGGAUAACUUCUCACAGAAAUACGAUCGUCAUUAAACAGUACAAAUAUGAAAAUUCUGUCUAGUUAACCGAAUUUUUUUAUGGCUUAUAAAAAAAAAAGCAGUUUGGCUUAAUUCGAUUUUCAGAGUUGAUGAAUAAAACGUUUUUCCUACAAAAAAAAAAAAUUUUGUUAGAAGAGAAAUUUUUUUAUAUUUUAUCGAAAUUGCAUUAACUUAAUUAUAGAAAAAAUUAUUUACAUUUAAGGAAUUUAUGUAAACUUUUAUAACAGUUUGAUACCUUUUGAUAAAAUUGAAUAGGAAGUAACCAGUAAACAGGGACGUAUAAUUGUGUUUUAUGGACGAUUACUAUAAAGUAAUAGAUGCAAAUUCUUCCUGUGGAAGUGAAAUUCGUUCACUGAAUGCAUGCAAACGUGAAUAUCGGCUUUGAUCUGAUAUCUUUUGAUUAAAUUCUGUUUAUCGAACUCUUUCUGGGUCUAUCGAACUUGGCUAACAUUUGCAUUCGUUGCGAAUCCUCUUCAGAUACGACCAAUUCUCGUUAUCUUCAUGGUUAAUGACUAAUAACGUCGAUGUUUAUAUAUAUAUGUAAUAAAAAUUAGAUUAAUUUUGAUAUUCAUCCGAGUAUUUCUGUGUUUUUUAGGAUAAUAUCCGAG